UACGAGGGGGGGCAAGCGUUGUUCGGAAUUAUUGGGCGUAAAGGGCGCGUAGGCGGUGCGGUAAGUCACCUGUGAAAACUCUGGGGCUCAACUCAGAGCCUGCAGGCGAAACUGCCGUGCUUGAGUGUGGGAGAGGUGCGUGGAAUUCCCGGUGUAGAGGUGAAAUUCGUAGAUAUCGGGAGGAACACCGGUGGCGAAGGCGGCGACCUGGGUAGAUACUGACGCUGAGGUGCGAAAGCGUGGGGAGCAAACAGG
RNAcentral lists this ribosomal RNA (255 nucleotides) under uncultured bacterium. RNAcentral's name for it is "partial 16S ribosomal RNA". It matches the Rfam family "Bacterial small subunit ribosomal RNA", at positions 524 to 776 of the family's 1533-position model. The record is from RNAcentral.